GUCAAAUUCUCUGUCGCGUGUCUUGAUUGAUAGACACGGUAAAAAACGUAAUUUGAACCACGGUUGUGAUUCAUUCGCUUCGUUGUUUCAUAUUGCUCGCGAUGAUACAUUUAUAGUUUUGAUCUUUCGAUAUGUUUUAUUAUAUAAUGAAACACGCGAUUAAUUUAAACAUGAGAAAAUUCCGUUAUACUGUUAUAAAACGUACAAACCGACGAUGAUAUGAUUCGUUUCCUAUGUAUCGUAUUUCAAAUCCAUUCGUUACAUUUUCACGUUACACCUCCAUUUCCUGUAAUUAGAAGCGUUCGUGCGAAUCGAUCAUCACCAUGCACUCGAUCGCUUAUAAACGAUUCUUGUGAUUUUAUUUGCAUUUGUAUCCUAUAAUUACUUUCAUUCGUAAAAUCUUUCUUCACGUUCUAACGAAUCACAUCAUAGGUUAUAACUUACUAUAGUCGAACUCGUACGAUAACCGGUAUAGCAUCUUCACUGAUCUACAGAAACGGAUAUUUUUAUCUUUCGAAGCAUUUAUAAAACGAAUAUUGAAAAUUUCAUCAACGAUCAAAGAAUAAUCCAGAAAGUAUCAUUGUGAGUGCAACGAUAUAUUCUAUUGAAACUUUGUCAAAAGGCGAUAUCAUUUCUUCUCGAUUAUCCGUUACCAAUCGAUCAUCGAAUCGUUGAUUUUGUCGUUUCGAUCCAACCACGAGAAUUGCGAGCGAAUCUUGGCGCAUAAUAACGCAAGAUUCUCGAAACGGAUCGAUUUUCGGAUCGUUUUCGAAGAAAGCAUAUUUUCGAUCUUUGUCUUUAGGAACCAGUUCUCGAUUCGUAUAUUUCACGAACAAAAACAGGAAUUGUAAAUAGUAAUUGUCGAGAGCGAAGCCUUUCUCACUACACUACACAUCCACCGAGGAAACGAUGCCUUAUGGCGAGCUGUUCCACGGUCAUACUAUGGCCAUGGUGUGUAGGCAUCGUUGAUGGCCCGUUUCAAACUGAGGCCCGCCGAGAGAGAACCAUUCCUGUUCCCAUAGCACGUGGCUUCUCUCUUUUGCUCUCUCCCUCCCUCGCUCUUGCCCCCACUAUUCACUCGUACAAUCCCCAUCACUCCUUCUCUUUCUCUCUUACUCUUCCCGAUUCUCUUUCUCACUCCUUAUUACCUCAGCACACGCAUACGCUCUUUCCUUUUUUCUCUUUCGAAUCCUCAUGUAGAUACGAUAUACCUUCCCUUUAACAUAGUCUCUGCUAUACGUUUCAUCUCGCAAUAUUCCUAUCUAUCCGUGUUUCCUUCGUUCUCGCACCGCAUUUCGCUACCCGCGCCCUCUGUUUCUCUACCGUCCCUCUCUCUCUCUCUCAUCUUUCCACCAUCUCUGUUCUUCUCGAUAUUAAACCCCAGAUUCAUCCCUUCUCGUUUGUUCGUGUUCACCCCCAUAAAGUCCUGUUCGUUCUUUGCCCUCGAAUCUCCCAAUCCCGUCUACUCUCUUCGUUCUUCUCUUUUCGUCGUUUAUCUAUCUUUCUCCUUCUCCCUCUCCCUUCCCAUUUCCCGUACGUUAGUACCUACUACCUCCGUGAAUUUCCCCACCGCACGAACCGACCAAUCAUAUCGUUGGCCUUCCAUAAGAGCCAGCCAAUCUCUGACGAGCGUUUUCUAUUGUGGAUUUUUAAAUCAUUUUUAUGCGUGCAUACCUUCAGCACGUGCACGUACGAAGUAUUGUACCGAGCGCAACAAUACGUUGUGUGUGCGCCCGUACGAGUCUCGUACGAAAAGAGUUUGAGUGGUUUGAAAAAUCUAUUUAAUUGGCAAUUCAAACGUUAUAUACGAUUUAAUGGAUUCAUGGAAGUUAUUAAUGGUAAUUUAAUAUAUCUCUCGUGGAACAAUUGAAUACUGUUUACAUACAUCGUACGAAGCUGGUAAAUUUUAUACGAUUCGAUUAAUUGAUACAAAUAUAUUUGAAAACUUUGUUGAAUUAUCGUCUAUGUUUAAGAUAUUUUAAUUAUUUAAUCUUUAUUUAUUAUGAAAUUUUUUAACUACACAUACAAAAUUUUUUAUACACAAAGUUAUUCAUAUUCUUCAUGGUGGUAUGCAUGACAUGUUUUUCGAUUUAUUACAGUGCGUGAAAUUGACAUACGAGAUGAAGGUUAAAAGUCAAUAAACUAGAAUGCACGCGUAUAAAGCUUCUUGAAUGAAUUGAUAUUUAUCUUUUUAACUUGUUUGUUCGUACGAGUUUAAAAUGCAUAUAAAUAAACUACGUGUUAUCGUGUUUCAUAAACCUUUUUUACUAAACAUAUAUAAUAAGAAAAUGAUAUCGUGUUUUUGUCUUUUUUUUUUUUAAAAAACUACAUAUAUAUGUAUCACGUAUCAAAUCCGUAAUUAGAAAAGAUAUAAUUCUUAUUUAAAAACCGGUAUUGAUGAUACAUAUGUUAGAAAAUAUUGAAGAGUAUUUUGAGGUUACCCGUUAUAUUCUCGUUAUACAGACCAGAGCUAUAAUACACCCACAUUGCCUGAAUUGUGUUGAAGAGGGAGUUUCGAUGUAUACGUGCGGUUAUAUUGUGUGGCGAACGUAACGCAACGACUACGGUCUACACUCAGUCGUGGACAUAAUGGAGCAUUGUUAAUAUGUUAAUGCCGAGCGUUCCUAAAGGUUCCGACGGUUUAUGUUUCUCCGUUCCACCGAAGAAUCGUUACACGGUCCAUUAGACGACGAACCUUGAAUUCCACUCGUCACGAAUUUCCCUAUGGGGUCCUUUUUCUAUUUCACUCGUAUCGUUAUAAUUUUUUUAUUAAUUUUAUUAAU
Molecule: long non-coding RNA, 2783 nt
Filed under: Apis dorsata (giant honeybee)
Lineage: Eukaryota; Metazoa; Arthropoda; Insecta; Hymenoptera; Apidae
Description: uncharacterized LOC102675820
Source: RNAcentral